Molecule: long non-coding RNA, 2179 nt
Organism: Mercenaria mercenaria
Lineage: Eukaryota; Metazoa; Mollusca; Bivalvia; Venerida; Veneridae
Exons: 3
Source: RefSeq, a predicted model, not a curated record
GUAAACAAAUCCCUUGUAGUUUCUAUUUUUAGAACUGAUAAGACGGUGAGCGGCUAGACGUCCAUGUUUUUUUUUUUUGUAAACAGUGAUGUUUUUCUAACUGCAUCAAUAUUCUUAAAACACAGAUUCUAUCAAUAUUUUUUUUUAUUAAUUCUGAUCAAAAUUCUAUCAAGCCAGCAAAAGUCUGUAUAUGAAAAAAGUCCCUGCCCAUCCCCCCUUCUGCAUAAUAACGUGCAAUGCAUUCACACGCCAUCCACCAUACAACAAGAAAAUUUAACAGAAGUGCCAUCCAUUAUCUAAAGGCAACAGAAAUAUAGCCGGGACUAUGCUUACUUGUCGCUGUCACCAUAUUGACUAACAUAAAAUCAACAGUUUUUACAUUUUGUUUGUAGUCAUUGCGUGACGUCACAUGUUUUAGAGAUUUCCUGAAAGAAAUCAUGCCAAAUAAGUUUAGACAUGUUGAGACAGCGACAGUCAAGUUAUCACACUGUCCCGAAACAUCCUGUUACGUUGUAUUUGGACAUCUCCAUAUAAUAUAAUUUAUUAUACUGCUUCACAUUCGUUUGAUGCCUGAUGAUUCUCUUCAGAAGUAACAUAAUAGUCCAACUAAUUUGAUGCGAUCCUAGGAAAUGUUGGGAUAAUUCUUUUCAUAUGGGCAGUAUCCCCACUUGCGUCAAACACUCGAAAGACCAAAAUAGUUGAAGCAAUUUCCGAUGAAAUUUUCAUCGCUGCCAACGCUUUACAUGCUAUAGGUUUAAAUGCCGAUUAUUUUCAAACAUUAGUCUUAAAUUCAAAUAAACUUACAUGUAUUGAACGGGGAUUCAAUUUCUCAAUGAUUUAUGCCAAAAUUAUCAAAUAAUAUCCAAAAUUACUUAUUUUCUGGUGAUUUAAAUGUAUGUAUGUACUGUACACGAUUAAAGUUUACCGUGUCUCUACAUGCAAAUAUGCGAAAACGCAAAACCAAUAACUUCACAUGACUGUGUACUGUGAUUUAUAUUCCAUUAUUUUGGUCCUUCAAAGUUUUGACGUUUAGAUUGCCCGUCACAAAUAUAAAACAAUCUGAACGGCGAAUUAUUUUGACUAGUAACAUAUAUGCCUCGUGCAGAAAACCUAGGAUCUGUUUUACAAAGACUUUGGUAUGUCUGAGUUUAGUCAGGCAUAAGUUUUCAUAAACCUUUACCCUGCUAAGUUUCUAAAAUGAACUGAUCCAUCGUUCAGUUUGGACAGUACCAUCUGUUUUUCGAAGGGGUGUUCACUGAAAAUUUACUGACUGAAUAGCGAACAGUGCAGACCAUGAUCUGCCUGCACAGAUGUGCAGGCUGAUCUUGGUCUGCACUGGUCGCAAAGGCAGAAUCACUUGUUGCUAGUAGGCUAAAGGUUAACCGUAAACUAGUUGUGAAACUGAUUCAAGGUUGUUUACAUCUAAAAUGCAAGACAGUAAAUUCUCAAAAUUUAUUUUAUGCAUGGGUGUACUACUGUUGUGUGUGCUUAAAAUGUAGAUUAUUACAAAUUAGCUCUAAUUUGAAAUUUUUUGCUGUUGACAGGUUUCCAUGUUGUCUGCUGUUGGAAGAACAUCUAUGAGGGACUGUGAAUAGAAUCUUUAUCUUCUGCUUAUAUACAACACUUACUUUGAUAAGUUGAUGACAAUGAAACUAAUGACCAUGUUAACAUCAGAGGAAAAGCAAACUGGGAGAAGAAAGGACAACAUUGUUUUCGAUCUUGAAGGCCUGCGUAGACAUAGGACCAGGAAGGGGAGCUAGGAGUGGGAGAAGUGCCUGUGACUGAUAUAUGCACUAUCAGAUAGAAAUCCAGUUCAAAAGGAAAUCUGAAAUAGUGAAAUAGCAGAAAUCAUGACUUACAUACUGUGUAAUCUGCUCUAAAACACAAACAUUUGAAUUUAAAAUGUGUUAAAUGCAAAACAGUUCUACUUACAAAAUGAAUCUUUCAGUAAAUUCUAAAUGCAGCUGAAAAGUGAUAUACAUGAAAUGUGUGAAAACAGUGCAAGUUAAGUUUGAUUUUUUGUUGUAUACAAAACUGAAGAACUUGUAUCCAAUUCAUUUUCUGGAUGCACAGUGUUAUUGGAAUUUUUUUCAGAUAAUUUAAAAUUCUACAAGGUGAAGAUAUUUCAAAUAGUAUCUCGAGAAAAAUAGUUUGCACAAUGAAUUGUUUUUCAAAAAUU